Molecule: ribosomal RNA, 629 nt
Filed under: Odocoileus virginianus (white-tailed deer)
Lineage: Eukaryota; Metazoa; Chordata; Mammalia; Artiodactyla; Cervidae
Description: partial 12S ribosomal RNA
Rfam family: Bacterial small subunit ribosomal RNA
Source: RNAcentral
GGCGUAAGCGUGUUUAAGCACUACGCCAAAUAAAGUUAAACUCCAAUUAAGCUGUAAAAAGCCAUAAUCAAGACGAAAAUAAAUAACGAAAGUAACUUUACAACCGCUGAAACACGAUAGCUAAGAUCCAAACUGGGAUUAGAUACCCCACUAUGCUUAGCCCUAAACAUAAAUAGUUAUAUAAACAAAACUAUUCGCCAGAGUACUACCGGCAAUAGCUUAAAACUCAAAGGACUUGGCGGUGCUUUAUACCCUUCUAGAGGAGCCUGUUCUAUAAUCGAUAAACCCCGAUAGACCUUACCACCCCUUGCUAAUACAGUCUAUAUACCGCCAUCUUCAGCAAACCCUAAAAAGGAACAAAAGUAAGCACAAUCACUAUACAUAAAAACGUUAGGUCAAGGUGUAACCUAUGGAGUGGAAAGAAAUGGGCUACAUUUUCUAAUCUAAGAAAACUCUUUACGAAAGUUACUAUGAAAUUAGUAACCAAAGGAGGAUUUAGCAGUAAACUAAGAAUAGAGUGCUUAGUUGAAUUAGGCCAUGAAGCACGCACACACCGCCCGUCACCCUCUUCAAAUAGGCACAAUACACUUAAAUUUAAUUAUACGUAUUAAUCAUAUGAGAAGAGAUAA